Molecule: long non-coding RNA, 390 nt
Filed under: Cyanistes caeruleus (blue tit)
Lineage: Eukaryota; Metazoa; Chordata; Aves; Passeriformes; Paridae
Description: lncRNA (ENSCCEG00000005349.1)
Source: RNAcentral
GGUGGUAGCCAAAAACAAGCUUUUGCUUUUUGAUAUCAGCACCUGUGGUUUGUUAACUCAAGUCAUUGUCAGCCAUCACAGCACAAUCCAAUACUGUGACUUCUGUCCUGGGGAUGAGUUAGUAGCAGUUGCUUUGUCUCACUGCUCUGUUGAGUUUUUCUUUCAUAUUUUUAUUGUAGCUAUGGAAUAUUAAGUCUUUAUCAAAAGUGGCAUAUUGCAGAGGACACAUGAGCUGGGUUCACUGUGUGACAUUUUCACCAGACGGAUCUUUAUUUCUGACUUCAUCUGAUGACCAGACAAUACGCGUAAGAUAACUUUAGUUUUUUGAAAUAUCUGAAUUUAGAUAGGUAUUGUUAAGUAACUCAUUUAAGAAAUUGUUUAUUGUAAAAC